Molecule: ribosomal RNA, 519 nt
Filed under: uncultured Gammaproteobacteria bacterium
Lineage: Bacteria; Pseudomonadati; Pseudomonadota; Gammaproteobacteria
Description: bacterial SSU rRNA
Rfam family: Bacterial small subunit ribosomal RNA
Source: RNAcentral
GAGUUUGAUCUUGGCUCAGAUUGAACGCUGGCGGCGUGCCUAACACAUGCAAGUCGAGCGGUAACAGGUGUAGCAAUACAUGCUGACGAGCGGCGGACGGGUGAGUAACGCUUGGGAAUCUGCCUAUUAGUGGGGGACAACCCGGGGAAACUCGGGCUAAUACCGCAUACGCACUACGGUGGAAAGCCGGGGACCGCAAGGCCUGGCGCUAAUAGAUGAGCCCAAGUCGGAUUAGCUAGUUGGUAGGGUAAUGGCCUACCAAGGCUACGAUCCGUAACUGGUCUGAGAGGACGACCAGUCACACCGGAACUGAGACACGGUCCGGACUCCUACGGGAGGCAGCAGUGGGGAAUAUUGGACAAUGGGCGAAAGCCUGAUCCAGCGACGCCGCGUGGGUGAAGAAGGCCUGCGGGUUGUAAAGCCCUUUCGGUAGGGAAGAAAAGCCUCGACCUAACACGUCGGGGUAUUGACGUAACCUACUAAAGAAGCACCGGCUAACUCUGUGCCAGCAGCCGCCGU